This 253-nucleotide ribosomal RNA is filed under the name uncultured bacterium. Its description in RNAcentral is "partial 16S ribosomal RNA". It matches the Rfam family "Bacterial small subunit ribosomal RNA", at positions 524 to 776 of the family's 1533-position model. The record is from RNAcentral.
UACGGGGGGGGCAAGCGUUGUUCGGAAUUACUGGGCGUAAAGGGCGCGUAGGCGGCCUUCUAAGUCGGACGUGAAAUCCCUCGGCUUAACCGAGGAACUGCGUCCGAUACUGAAAGGCUUGAAUCCGGGAGAGGGAUGUGGAAUUCCAGGUGUAGCGGUGAAAUGCGUAGAUAUCUGGAGGAACACCGGUGGCGAAGGCGGCGACCUGGGUAGAUACUGACGCUGAGGUGCGAAAGCGUGGGGAGCAAACAGG